GAUGAACGCUGGCGGCGUGCCUAAUACAUGCAAGUCGAGCGAACAGACGAGGAGCUUGCUCCUCUGACGUUAGCGGCGGACGGGUGAGUAACACGUGGAUAACCUACCUAUAAGUCUGGGAUAACUUCGGGACACCGGAGCUAAUACCGUAUAAUCUAUUGAACCGCAUGGUUCAAUAGUGAAAGACGGUUUUGCUGUCACUUAUAGAUGGAUCCGCGCCGCAUUAGCUAGUUGGUAAGGUAACGGCUUACCAAGGCGACGAUGCGUAGCCGACCUGAGAGGGUGAUCGGCCACACUAGAACUGGGACACGGUCCAGACUCCUACGGGAGGCAGCAGUAGGGAAUCUUCCGCAAUGGGCGAAAGCCUGACGGAGCAACGCCGCGUGAGUGAUGAAGGUCUUCGGAUCGUAAAACUCUGUUAUUAGGGAAGAACAAAUGUGUAAGUAACUAUGCACGUCUUGACGGUACCUAAUCAGAAAGCCACGGCUAACUACGUG
RNAcentral lists this ribosomal RNA (497 nucleotides) under uncultured bacterium. RNAcentral's name for it is "partial 16S ribosomal RNA". It matches the Rfam family "Bacterial small subunit ribosomal RNA", at positions 28 to 507 of the family's 1533-position model. The record is from RNAcentral.